This 396-nucleotide ribosomal RNA is filed under the name Gammaproteobacteria bacterium. RNAcentral's name for it is "bacterial SSU rRNA". It matches the Rfam family "Bacterial small subunit ribosomal RNA", at positions 1132 to 1533 of the family's 1533-position model. The record is from RNAcentral. Lineage: Bacteria; Pseudomonadati; Pseudomonadota; Gammaproteobacteria.
UGGGGACUCUAAACAGACUGCCUGUGCAAACAGAGAGGAAGGAGGGGACGACGUCAAGUCAUCAUGGCCCUUACGUCCGGGGCUACACACGUGCUACAAUGGAUGGUACAGAGGGCAGCGAGCUAGCAAUAGCAAGCCAAUCUCAAAAAGCCAUUCACAGUUCGGAUAGAGGUCUGCAACUCGACCUCUUGAAGUUGGAUUCGCUAGUAAUCGCAGAUCAGCAAUGCUGCGGUGAAUACGUUCCCGGGCCUUGUACACACCGCCCGUCAAGCCAUGGAAGUUGGGGGUACCUAAAGUUCGUAACCGCAAGGAGCGACCUAGGGUAAAACCGAUAACUGGGGCUAAGUCGUAACAAGGUAGCCGUACCGGAAGGUGCGGCUGGAAUACCUCCUUUCU